CAAUAGCGUAUAUUAAAGUUGUUGCGGUUAAAAAGCUCGUAGUUGGAUUUCUGCCGAGGACGACCGGUCCGCCCUCUGGGUGUGUAUCUGGUUUGGCCUGGGCAUCUUCUUGGAGAACGUAGCUGCACUUGACUGUGUGGUGCGGUGUCCAGGACUUUUACUUUGAGGAAAUUAGAGUGUUUCAAGCAGGCACACGCCUUGAAUACAUUAGCAUGGAAUAAUAAGAUAGGACCUCGGUUCUAUUUUGUUGGUUUCUAGAGCUGAGGUAAUGAUUAAUAGGGAUAAUUGGGGGCAUUCGUAUUCAACUGUCAGAGGUGAAAUUCUUGGAUUUGUUGAAGACGAUCUACUGCGAAAGCAUUUGCCAGGGAUGUUUUCAUUGA
This 380-nucleotide ribosomal RNA is filed under the name uncultured eukaryote. Its description in RNAcentral is "partial 18S ribosomal RNA". It matches the Rfam family "Eukaryotic small subunit ribosomal RNA", at positions 592 to 976 of the family's 1831-position model. The record is from RNAcentral.